CAUCUUUUUUUAUAAGAACACUUAAAGAAGGCCUUUCAACUUUUCAAAUUGUUCUUAAAUUGGUCGUAAUUUUCCUCUGAUUUUGUCAUUUUUUGUGUAAGUGUAAAGGAGCAUUUCCGUACUUCGUGAUAUUGUCAAAGACUUAAAUGUUCUUAACAUGUUCUAAACUUUUGGGCCUUUGAAGCCAUAUGUUCAAACAUUUUGUUCUUAUAAAAACUGUUAAUGUUAUCUAUAUUAUGUAGUCAAACAUUAAAAUACAUUUAGUUCACUUCAACAUUCACUGGUAUUGGGGGCUCACAAGCUACUGGAAUUGGUCAUAUUGCCCAAAACUUACCUUAUUAACUCUCUUUAGUACAAAAGCACACUACGUACUUUUCUUUUUCUUUUUUAGGUUGAAGCGCAAAGCCCCAUGACUUGCCUUCCCGUGGCACGCUUCGUUAGGUGGAUUAUUUUCUUUUUAAGGAGAUAAUUCAUGAACUAAAAGUCAGGGCAUGCCAUGUUAAAAUUGCAUCACAUAUUUUUGGUAUUGAAAAGACUCAAGAAGCAUCAACUGCAGGUUUAUGGAGGUUUAUGGAAAACAAAAUCCCAAGUUUUCUUUUUUGUAACAUUAUCGUUUACAGCGACUGUUGAUGUCGAGCGAGAAUAAAAAAAGUUUAUGUUGUUGCCAGAAAUAUUUGUUAUAAAGAAGAAAAACGUACGAUAAUAUAACGUCAAAAAGAGAACUGAUUGGAAAUGUAUCAGACAAUUGUAGCUAGCUAUACAUUUUAAAUUUGUUUUCUUUGGGAUGAAGCGAAGUUUAAUAAUCGAAGUAAAAAACUGAUUGGUCUUUUAUCCAGAGACGCUAGCUAACUGAGAAUGCCAAAGAAAGGCAGUUGUGUUGUUUAGUUUAUCUGGUAAAGAGAUAAGUUUAGGUGGGUAACGUUUUUUUUAACCGUUUUAACUUUCAGAGCUCAGCUUUUCCUUUACAUUUUUAGUUCCUUGUUGAGUCUUGAGCUUAAAUGCGUUUUCUUUUGACACAAUUUUUAUAAGAAUCUAAAAUGUAAAGCGACGUUUUUAAGCCGUUUACACGCUUCCAGCUAAACUUUCCCUUUAAUAUGAAGUUAAAUAUGUUUUGUCUUUAGCCUGAACAUAUUUAACAUUUUUUGUAAGAAUAUACUCUAAACAAUGGGUCAGAAUAUCCUAAGAAUAUGUCUAAGCUUGGUUGUUUCUUUUAAUAUAAAAAUUUGUAUGACUGAACCUUUUUCUCUCCAAAACAAUGGGCAAGUACACCAGGGAAAGCUAAGAACAUAAAGGCCGAAACAAAAAAAAA
Hydractinia symbiolongicarpus is the source of this 1309-nucleotide long non-coding RNA. RefSeq lists it as uncharacterized. The record is from RefSeq and is a predicted model, not a curated record. NCBI's taxonomy places the organism in Eukaryota, Metazoa, Cnidaria, Hydrozoa, Anthoathecata, Hydractiniidae. The transcript is spliced from 3 exons.